ACCUCAGAUUAAUGUCAUUAAUCACAGAAAACUAGCGACAUUUAGCUAAAUGAGAGAAAGCUCUUAUAAUAGAGGAUGCAUCAGAAGACUUCAGAAAAGAAGAUCCUGAAAGUGAUCUACAAGAAGAGGACAGAAUAAUAGCUGCUGUAAACAAAGUCAAGAGGAGUGCUGAAAACACAGAGGAGGGGAGAAGAAAAGCGAGGAGAGAAUAUUUGAUCUGGAUUGCUUGUUUACGGAGAUAUGGUUCCCCAGCGGGAAACGGCAAGUCGUGCCAAAGAUUACAGCGAGUAUUAUGUGAUCGAGGCACAAUCACUCUUACUCGGCUAUGAAUUAUUCAAACGUGCAAACGGAUGUGGCUGAAGCACUCUCGUGGCAUUUGUAGAUAUGAGUUUCAUCACUCUUCAUCUGUCUGCAUACAGUAACACUGCAGCAGGGCACGGCGAUUUAUGAAACUGACCCCGGGGAUGGAGGAGAUGAGUCCGUAUGCUGUAGGAAAGUCUGAAAGGUGCAUUCUACAACCAAAUCCACCAUUACUUAACUGUCAUGCUUCCUGCUGUGCUCACAGUAACGAAGCCCAUUUCUCAGCAAGGCUUUCUGAGACUGAAUAGAAAUAAAAUGCCCUAGCUAACAGGACAGAAUGUAAAACCUGCCGCUACAUUUCAAAAAGCAACUUUCGGAUGUCUUUUCUGAGGUGAAGCUAAAUUUCCAAAGCAAACACAUCGGGAUGUCUUGUAAUAGGAAAAUAAUCAACUCUCAAUGAUGACAAAAACAGUCCAAGUGUACUUUGUAGACUGUACAUUUACAAUAAAAGUUGUGAAAACUUAUGUUCCAGCGACUCUAUAUACAGCCGUUCCCUCACUCAUCCAUCUAUCUUACUCAAGACGAGUGAAUGAUUAGCAUUUUUUUUUAUAAAAUAGCUACACGGUUUUAAUAUUAGCUUAAUAUUAUGUACAAUGCACAAGUCUUCAUAUGAGAUGACACAGGGAUAAAACAGACCCAAAUGCAGAUCCAAAUGAUUGCAUAAAUAAAAAAGAACAGGGUUUAUUAACUAAAAAACAUGAAAAAGGGACAAGGAUGAAAACUAAACCAGACAUGACAUCAGACAACAACAGAAGACAACAACAGGGGACACAACGCGGCUCGACUAAAUACUAAUCACAGUUAGACUCAUGAGGAACAGGUGUGCA
Molecule: long non-coding RNA, 1187 nt
Organism: Tachysurus fulvidraco (yellow catfish)
Lineage: Eukaryota; Metazoa; Chordata; Actinopteri; Siluriformes; Bagridae
Exons: 3
Source: RefSeq, a predicted model, not a curated record